Molecule: ribosomal RNA, 419 nt
Filed under: bacterium
Lineage: Bacteria
Description: partial 16S ribosomal RNA
Rfam family: Bacterial small subunit ribosomal RNA
Source: RNAcentral
UGGGGGAUAUUGCACAAUGGGCGCAAGCCUGAUGCAGCGACGCCGCGUGGGGGAUGAAGGCCUUCGGGUUGUAAACUUCUUUUGCUCUGAACAAGGCGCACUUUGGGGUGUGUUGAGUGUAGGGGUUGAUUAGCGCCGGCUAACUACGUGCCAGCAGCCGCGGUAAUACGUAGGGCGCGAGCGUUGUCCGGAAUUAUUGGGCGUAAAGGGCUUGUAGGUGGCUGGUUGCGUCUGUCGUGAAAGCUCAUGGCUUAACUGUGGGUUUGCGGUGGGUACGGGCUGGCUUGAGUGCAGUAGGGGAGGCUGGAAUUCCUGGUGUAGCGGUGGAAUGCGCAGAUAUCAGGAGGAAUACCGGUGGCGAAGGCGGGUCUCUGGGCUGUUACUGACACUGAGGAGCGAAAGAAUGGGGAGCGAACAGG